Long non-coding RNA from Heteronotia binoei (common prickly gecko), 289 nucleotides. RefSeq lists it as uncharacterized. NCBI's taxonomy places the organism in Eukaryota, Metazoa, Chordata, Lepidosauria, Squamata, Gekkonidae. The record is from RefSeq and is a predicted model, not a curated record. The transcript is spliced from 2 exons.
AAAAAUACAGUUCCUCUUAGCAUGAUGGAAGGCACAAAUGCUGAUUGUGAUAGCCCAAGUUAAAUGCAAUCACACUCAUGCAGGGCUUUUUUAGUGAGGUUUACAUGAUAUACCCACUCCACUCAAGAGUCCAGUACAGUAACACAUCCCAUGAGCUACAAACAAGACAAAAUGGAAUCUAUGCCUUAAUAAAAUUAGCAUGAAUCAAUGCAAUGGCUUUAACUUGUUUCUGGAUUGGCCUUUCUGCUCCUUGUAGAGUCAAUCAUAAAACUUCCUUCCUUCCACUCCC